CUUAAUAUUUGGGUUUGGGGGUUGGCUGCGAGCUAUGGCUAAACACCAUCCAGAUUUGAUCUUUUGCUGCAAGCAGGCUGGCGUUGCCAUUGGAAGACUGUGUGAAAAAUGUGACGGCAAGUGUGUAAUCUGUGACUCCUAUGUGCGUCCCUGCACCCUCGUGCGAAUAUGUGAUGAGUGUAACUAUGGCUCUUACCAGGGGCGCUGUGUGAUCUGUGGAGGCCCAGGAGUCUCUGAUGCCUAUUAUUGUAAGGAGUGUACCAUCCAGGAGAAGGAUAGAGAUGGCUGCCCAAAAAUUGUCAAUUUGGGGAGCUCUAAGACAGACCUCUUCUAUGAACACAAAAAAUACGGCUUCAAGAAAAGGUGAUUGGUGGGUGGCCCCUUCUCCCCCCACCAUCAAGCUGCCACAGCUGCCAGAAAAGAUGCCUACUACUACCAGCAGAACAGGAGCGGAGCCCAGAGCAUCACCGGAAUUGCCUGCUAGUGUACUGGCACCUUGCCACCCUUUCCUGUCCCCUCACCCAGACAUGUGGUAGGCAUAGAAAAGGAUUCUUCACAGAGCACCCUGGCAGACUAUAUGAGAGAAAAAUUGAUAGUGUUUUUUUCAGCUCACUACAGCCUCUUCUCCACAUUGAUAUGUUCUCUUUACAGUAAGUUUCUAGAAAGAAAUAAUAUUUCCGUAUUGUCUGAGGAGUUGACUGUGAAGCUACACAGAAUGAAAACCAUGUUCUUGCAGCAGCUCUGAUGGCAGUUGUCCUUGAGGAACCAUCAGUGUGUGGUGGGGAGCUCUCAGAGUGAUAAAUGUGGGUGUGUAAUCUUGUAACACUUACCAGGCAGUGCUGGUUUCAUGUUAUUUUCCUUCUGAGAAAUUGGAAACCCUUUCUUUUGCUAUUAUAUUAAUAAAGCUGGCGUUUAUUUUCUGGCAAAAAAAAAA
Non-coding RNA from Microcebus murinus (gray mouse lemur), 934 nucleotides. The record is from RefSeq and is a predicted model, not a curated record. NCBI's taxonomy places the organism in Eukaryota, Metazoa, Chordata, Mammalia, Primates, Cheirogaleidae.